RNAcentral lists this unclassified non-coding RNA (200 nucleotides) under Pseudocraterellus sp. RNAcentral's name for it is "partial internal transcribed spacer 2". The record is from RNAcentral. Lineage: Eukaryota; Fungi; Basidiomycota; Agaricomycetes; Cantharellales.
UUAAGUUCAGCGGGUAUCCUCAUCUGAUUCGAGGUCAUUGAUAAACAUUGAAGGGGCAUUGAGCUCCUUUUUCCCAUACGGAUGAUUGGAAGCUAGCGCCACUUUAAAAGUCACUUUUACGAUGUUUAAGACGUCUUUGACACUGGCUACAGAGACCAGUUUGCGAGAACUUGACCAAUUAGAACGCCCUCCAUCACAAA